This 788-nucleotide ribosomal RNA is filed under the name Streptomyces sp. RNAcentral's name for it is "bacterial SSU rRNA". It matches the Rfam family "Bacterial small subunit ribosomal RNA", at positions 69 to 871 of the family's 1533-position model. Lineage: Bacteria; Bacillati; Actinomycetota; Actinomycetes; Kitasatosporales; Streptomycetaceae. The record is from RNAcentral.
AUGAACCACUUCGGUGGGGAUUAGUGGCGAACGGGUGAGUAACACGUGGGCAAUCUGCCCUGCACUCUGGGACAAGCCCUGGAAACGGGGUCUAAUACCGGAUACUGACCCUCACGGGCAUCUGUGAGGUUCGAAAGCUCCGGCGGUGCAGGAUGAGCCCGCGGCCUAUCAGCUUGUUGGUGAGGUAAUGGCUCACCAAGGCGACGACGGGUAGCCGGCCUGAGAGGGCGACCGGCCACACUGGGACUGAGACACGGCCCAGACUCCUACGGGAGGCAGCAGUGGGGAAUAUUGCACAAUGGGCGAAAGCCUGAUGCAGCGACGCCGCGUGAGGGAUGACGGCCUUCGGGUUGUAAACCUCUUUCAGCAGGGAAGAAGCGAAAGUGACGGUACCUGCAGAAGAAGCGCCGGCUAACUACGUGCCAGCAGCCGCGGUAAUACGUAGGGCGCGAGCGUUGUCCGGAAUUAUUGGGCGUAAAGAGCUCGUAGGCGGCUUGUCACGUCGGUUGUGAAAGCCCGGGGCUUAACCCCGGGUCUGCAGUCGAUACGGGCAGGCUAGAGUUCGGUAGGGGAGAUCGGAAUUCCUGGUGUAGCGGUGAAAUGCGCAGAUAUCAGGAGGAACACCGGUGGCGAAGGCGGAUCUCUGGGCCGAUACUGACGCUGAGGAGCGAAAGCGUGGGGAGCGAACAGGAUUAGAUACCCUGGUAGUCCACGCCGUAAACGGUGGGCACUAGGUGUGGGCAACAUUCCACGUUGUCCGUGCCGCAGCUAACGCAUUAAGUGCCCCG